Molecule: non-coding RNA, 74 nt
Organism: Potamilus streckersoni
Lineage: Eukaryota; Metazoa; Mollusca; Bivalvia; Unionida; Unionidae
Source: the annotation of a GenBank genome assembly
GCUUCAGUGGCCUAAGUGGUUAUAGCGUCUGCCUCGGAAGCGGGAGAUCGCGGGUUGGAACCCUGACCGAAUCA